This 244-nucleotide ribosomal RNA is filed under the name uncultured bacterium. RNAcentral describes it as "partial 16S ribosomal RNA". It matches the Rfam family "Bacterial small subunit ribosomal RNA", at positions 333 to 569 of the family's 1533-position model. The record is from RNAcentral.
UGAUCCCUACGGGAGGCAGCAGUAGGGAAUCUUCCACAAUGGACGAAAGUCUGAUGGAGCAACGCCGCGUGAGUGAAGAAGGGUUUCGGCUCGUAAAGCUCUGUUGGUAGGGGAGAAAGAUAGAGGUAGUAACUGGCCUUUUUUUUACGGUAAUUACUUAGAAAGUCACGGCUAACUACGUGCCCGCCGCCGCGGUAAUACGUAGGUGGCAAGCGUUGUCCGGGUUUAUUGGGCGUAAAGCGAG